GGCGAGGAUCCCAGUUCUUUGUAAAGUGCUUUCGAAGAGUCGAGUUGUUUGGGAAUGCAGCUCUAAGUGGGUGGUAAAUUCCAUCUAAAGCUAAAUAUUGGCGAGAGACCGAUAGCGAACAAGUACAGUGAUGGAAAGAUGAAAAGAACUUUGAAAAGAGAGUGAAAAAGUACGUGAAAUUGUUGAAAGGGAAGGGCAUUUGAUCAGACAUGGUGUUUUGCGCCCUCUGCUCCUUGUGGGUGGGGGAAUCUCGCAGCUCACUGGGCCAGCAUCAGUUUUGGCGGCAGGAUAAAUCUGCAGGAAUGUAGCUUGCCUCCUUCCGUAGGUGAACCUGCGGGAAUACUGCCAGCUGGGACUGAGGACUGCGACGUA
Molecule: ribosomal RNA, 372 nt
Filed under: Torulaspora delbrueckii
Lineage: Eukaryota; Fungi; Ascomycota; Saccharomycetes; Saccharomycetales; Saccharomycetaceae
Description: partial large subunit ribosomal RNA
Rfam family: Eukaryotic large subunit ribosomal RNA
Source: RNAcentral